Long non-coding RNA from Mesocricetus auratus (golden hamster), 618 nucleotides. RefSeq lists it as uncharacterized. Lineage: Eukaryota; Metazoa; Chordata; Mammalia; Rodentia; Cricetidae. The transcript has 2 exons. The record is from RefSeq and is a predicted model, not a curated record.
UGAAUAAAGCUCGCCAUGGGUAGGACAGGACCAGCGUCUCUGGGUCAGCAGUCACUGGGCGGGCGCAUAACUUCCGGAAAUCCGCCGAGCGGGUGGGGCCAGUAAGUUGCAGACCAGUGGAUCCACAGUGGCCCUCCAGCGUUUCAUCCAUACAAGGCCAGUUUCCACCCUUGGCUCCAUAUGUAAACAAAGCCUGGGCUUUCAGCGGCAGGUCCCCACAGGUCUAGCCCUCUGUGCCAGCCAUGCAGGAGGUAGAGCCAGAGUCUGGCUCCGUGACUCCUGCACAGCUACCGAGUUCCUGCCGCCGCCUUCCCUCAAAAACUCCAGAGUGAGAAAUUCUAACUGAAUGUGUACAACUGCAGAGCUCAAGCCAUUCUUCCACCCUGUGUGUUAUCAAUGACAUUGUAAAAGUACUGACUAACCUGUGGUAGAGAGUGGGGGUAAAAACUGGACCAUGAUGAUUAAGAGCCGGACUAGAGGCAGAAUGGACCCUCUGAGCUCUCGUGGGUGCAUCAAAUAAAGACUGAACCAUACUGUAAGCCACGGGCUGGUCUUCCUGUGUGACAGCCUAGUCCUCAAGUUACAAAUAUACAUUCUUAAUAAAAUAGUUAUGAGGAA